UACGUAGGGUGCGAGCGUUGUCCGGAAUUAUUGGGCGUAAAGAGCUCGUAGGCGGUGUGUCGCGUCGGUCGUGAAAACUUGGGGCUUAACCCUGAGCUUGCGGUCGAUACGGGCAUCACUGGAGUUCGGCAGGGGAGACUGGAAUUCCUGGUGUAGCGGUGAAAUGCGCAGAUAUCAGGAGGAACACCGGUGGCGAAGGCGGGUCUCUGGGCCGAUACUGACGCUGAGGAGCGAGAGCGUGGGGAGCGAACAGG
This 254-nucleotide ribosomal RNA is filed under the name uncultured bacterium. Its description in RNAcentral is "partial 16S ribosomal RNA". It matches the Rfam family "Bacterial small subunit ribosomal RNA", at positions 524 to 776 of the family's 1533-position model. The record is from RNAcentral.